AUCUACUGAAAGAGUUUUCGGACAAUGGAAGUAGAGGAAAGUGGCGGACGGGUGAGUAACGCGUGAGGAACCUGCCUUGAAGAGGGGGACAACAGUUGGAAACGACUGCUAAUACCGCAUGAAGCAUAGGGGUCGCAUGAUCUUUAUGCCAAAGAUUUAUCGCUUCAAGAUGGCCUCGCGUCUGAUUAGCUGGUUGGCGGGGUAAUGGCCCACCAAGGCGACGAUCAGUAGCCGGACUGAGAGGUUGAACGGCCACAUUGGGACUGAGAUACGGCCCAGACUCCUACGGGAGGCAGCAGUGGGGAAUAUUGGGCAAUGGGCGCAAGCCUGACCCAGCAACGCCGCGUGAAGGAAGAAGGCUUUCGGGUUGUAAACUUCUUUUAAGAGGGAAGAGCAGAAGACGGUACCUCUAGAAUAAGCCACGGCUAACUACGUGCCAGCAGCCGCGGUAAUACGUAGGUGGCAAGCGUUGUCCGGAUUUACUGGGUGUAAAGGGCGUGCAGCCGGGUCUGCAAGUCAGAUGUGAAAUCCAUGGGCUCAACCCAUGAACUGCAUUUGAAACUGUAGAUCUUGAGUGUCGGAGGGGCAAUCGGAAUUCCUAGUGUAGCGGUGAAAUGCGUAGAUAUUAGGAGGAACACCAGUGGCGAAGGCGGAUUGCUGGACGAUAACUGACGGUGAGGCGCGAAAGUGUGGGGAGCAAA
This 701-nucleotide ribosomal RNA is filed under the name uncultured Lachnospiraceae bacterium. Its description in RNAcentral is "bacterial SSU rRNA". It matches the Rfam family "Bacterial small subunit ribosomal RNA", at positions 68 to 772 of the family's 1533-position model. The record is from RNAcentral. Lineage: Bacteria; Bacillati; Bacillota; Clostridia; Lachnospirales; Lachnospiraceae.